Cyprinus carpio carpio is the source of this 2464-nucleotide long non-coding RNA. The record is from Ensembl. Lineage: Eukaryota; Metazoa; Chordata; Actinopteri; Cypriniformes; Cyprinidae.
CCUGAUGACAUGGGUGAGCCACUUAUGCAUACAUGCUGACUCUGAAAAUAUAAAGAUCAGAAUAUAUUAAACACAAAUGGAUGGAUCGAUUACAAUAACAUCAUCCUAUUUUAUUUGACGUGAGGAUAAUAAGGAAGGGCAGUGCGAUAUAAAAAAAACACAUCCAAGUACCAUUCACCUACUGUCCUGCCAUAGUGCUCCAUACCAUUUAAAUACUGUCCUGCGCCACUGUGUCAUGCUAUUUCUUCACUAUCCUGUGCGAUUUACCUAACCCUUUCAUGGGACAGUAAUCAAAUGGCACAAGACAGCAGAUUAGUACCAUAGUACUGUACUGUAAGUUAUUAUCUCUGAAAAGUUUGUGAUUCAAGUCUGCACAGUUUCUUCUCCUACUGCUACUGGAAAGAAGGGUGAUAAUCUCAUAUUUUUUAUUUUUGCAGGACGCAUAGACAUGCUGACGAUCAUGGCCAUGCGCUGGAACCAACAAAAGUUUGACAACUUGGCUUCUACCCUUGCCCGCCGAUAUCGGAAGGUAAAGACACCAGUUUUCCCUUAUGCAAAAUGCAUAGCGAUAUUGUAAAAUAAAGCAAAUAAAUGGCAUAUAUCACAAAAAUAUAGAGAACACUUGCCCAGAUAUUCUUUAAUAUAUAUUAAAUAUACGGAUGGUUGCAUGUGUAGUGUCAAUUGUAUUUUUUAGUGUCUUGAUAUAAAAUAUUACAUGUUCAUACCACAUAUAUUGAUAGUCCACGUAUAUACGAAUAUACUGUAUAUUUAAUUAGUGUUGUAUGUGGUUUUCUAAUAGUGAAGGUACUUCACAAUCCUUAUCAACAAUAGUCAAAGUGGUAGGCGUUUUCCUCAUUGUCAUUUAUGUUUGAAGGCCACAAUAGCCCUGCAAUGCCAGUUGCAUAACCUGGAGGCCAUGAAAACGGAAAUGGACGUCUCAGACAAUCAACUGGAGAGGUGGAUCAUUGAUAUCAAUGAGUGGGCAGAAGCAACAACAUCCCCAAAUGAUGCUGAUGUUGCCGCUGUUGCCAGCCGAAUUGAGGAGCUGGUGGCAAGUGUUAAGAGGAGGUCCCAGCGUCUUUACAAGGAUAGUGACGGAUGCAAAGGACGUGCCCGAAUCCGCCGAAAGAUCAGGGAGGAAAAAUCUUAAAUUCUGUAGUGGAAAAAGUACAACACCUUGGUUCCUAAUGCAGAAAAAAACUGUCAUUGGACACCAUUCUAUCUGACGAGAUUGUUUGGCCAUGGCAGCUUACACACGGUGACUCUGUUGAUCUAAGGACAAAGAGGAAGGCGUUCGACAUUGUGAUGGCAGUAAGGAGACUUGAGGAGGAGAAGAGGAUUCUUAUUGCAGAGAUGAACAAGCAUUGGAAGUCUCUUUGCUCCCGUGCAGACACCCUGAAGCAGAUGUCAUCCAAGCUUUCUAAUGUGACAUCAGGUAUGUAUUUGUUAUACUUGGCAUACAUUACAAUAUUUCUGAAUGUUUUUUUAAUUAAUAAAGGCUCAAUAUGUUUUUAACAUGUAAGGUGAGACUUGGGGCCUGCUUCAAGAUGGUAUCCGAGGUCUACAAAGCUUGACGAUGAAGAACAAGCGAGCAAGCAACAGCCUGGCAAAGCAUGCAAAAGAAAUAUUAUGUUCAAGUUCUGACUGAAACAGAAAUUAACUUUGAUAGUGAUUCUGAGGAAUACCAUACCAGUAGUGACUCUGAGCAAGAUUAAACAUGGCCAGAGUCCUUUUUUUAUGCUGUUGUGUGCUGGGGAGGCAGCAUUAAAGAAGAGGGCCGCUGGGACAGGUUGUUAAGGAAAGCUGGCUCUGUGUUUGGCAUGGAGCUGGAGUUAAUUAUUUAACAAACUGAGGAUAAUUUGCAGUAGCAGUCUUCUGUCAUGCUCAACAUUGAGGAGGUCCUUUGUCCCCAGGGCAUACCAGCAACUCAAUGUCACAGAAAAGGUUAGGGGAGAAAUUGACUUUUUCAGCAUGAGUCUCACCCUGCGCCAACCAUUACAUCGCUUUGUCUAUUGUCUAGUAUCCACUAUCCAUUUGACUGUCUUACAGGCUACAUUAGCCCCUCUACACAUUCUGAACUGUGGUUUCAACAUUUACCCCUGUUGGCUUGUAUAAUCUUUUUUCUUUUUUUAUAUAUAUUUAAGUUUCUGUUUUUUUCUAUCUAUUUUUAACUUCUUUGUAUUGUUUUUUUGUUAAGCAAUACUAUUAUGCUCAGACUCUUUUUUUCCAUAGUCAUAUUAAACAUGCACAGCUUUGCACUGAUUAAAUCCCUGCACUGUUUACUUUUUGCACUACCACCACUGCAAAUCACUCUAUAGUUGCCCAUCAUGUAUCACAGGGUCAGUCCCUACCAGGCCUUUGUAAUCACUUGACAUGCUCUUCACUUUUUUUACAUUUGUGAUUUUUUUGUUAUGUGUCUGAGUUGUGUGUUGUUUUUUUGUGGUUGUAUAAGCUAAUAAAUGCC